UGACUGGAGUUGAGACCUGGGCUCUUCGGAUCUAUAAAACAAUGUAAUCCAGAGUGAAGGUGAACCUAUUAUAAACAAUUAUACAGAAAAACAAUAAAUAUUUUGUAAGAAAAGUUAUGUAGAAAGGACUGUAUAAUGGGGACAAAAGAAUUUUUUGUAUGUAGUUAAGGUUAAACAAUAUUUGUUGUGUGGGC
RNAcentral lists this long non-coding RNA (194 nucleotides) under Neodiprion lecontei (redheaded pine sawfly). RNAcentral's name for it is "uncharacterized LOC124294262". The record is from RNAcentral. Lineage: Eukaryota; Metazoa; Arthropoda; Insecta; Hymenoptera; Diprionidae.